CGGAUUUACUGGGCGUAAAGCGUGCGUAGGCGGCUUUUUAAGUCGGAUGUGAAAUCCCUGAGCUUAACUUAGGAAUUGCAUUCGAUACUGGAAAGCUAGAGUAUGGGAGAGGAUGGUAGAAUUCCAGGUGUAGCGGUGAAAUGCGUAGAGAUCUGGAGGAAUACCGAUGGCGAAGGCAGCCAUCUGGCCUAAUACUGACGCUGAGGUACGAAAGCAUGGGGAGCAAACAGGAUUAGAUACCCUGGUAGUCCAUGCCGUAAACGAUGUCUACUAGCCGUUGGGGCCUUUGAGGCUUUAGUGGCGCAGCUAACGCGAUAAGUAGACCGCCUGGGGAGUACGGUCGCAAGACUAAAACUCAAAUGAAUUGACGGGGGCCCGCACAAGCGGUGGAGCAUGUGGUUUAAUUCGAUGCAACGCGAAGAACCUUACCUGGCCUUGACAUACUAAGAACUUUCCAGAGAUGGAUUGGUGCCUUCGGGAACUUAGAUACAGGUGCUGCAUGGCUGUCGUCAGCUCGUGUCGUGAGAUGUUGGGUUAAGUCCCGCAACGAGCGCAACCCUUUUCCUUAUUUGCCAGCGGGUAAUGCCGGGAACUUUAAGGAUACUGCCAGU
This 611-nucleotide ribosomal RNA is filed under the name Acinetobacter sp. S2. RNAcentral's name for it is "bacterial SSU rRNA". It matches the Rfam family "Bacterial small subunit ribosomal RNA", at positions 546 to 1156 of the family's 1533-position model. Lineage: Bacteria; Pseudomonadati; Pseudomonadota; Gammaproteobacteria; Moraxellales; Moraxellaceae. The record is from RNAcentral.